CCUGUUUGCAUCUGAGAUUGCAUAAUAUUGGAGGAACAUGCUUAAUUGGCCUGUGCAUUUGGCAGAUAUAGUUGUGUUUGUUCUGCUACUAGCAUCCUGUACUGUUUAGUUGGUAUUUGGUAUUAUAUUUUUUCUUCUAGCCCAGAAUUAUUCAUUUUAGAUCUUGUUGCAUGAUGUGUCAUGUAUAUGACUAGUACUACUAUUUCUGCAUGCUUAUAUGUUUGUGCAUUUACUAGCUUAGCUACCACAGUAGUGUUCUGUUGAAAUUUGAGGCAUAUCUUUGUUCAUAAGUGUCUUUGUUCCCAUGCAGUGUGCUUUGAAACGUAGGGCGAAUGUUGUGGAGGAGUAGGGCGAAUCGGACAUUGUCUCGCUUGUGCCGCUGUGAUAACAUGCUGAAUGUUGUAAAUGACUGUGUAUGAAUCUUCUGUACGUGCAGAUUAUCAGGCAUUAUUUAAUGCUGCUGAGGGUGUAACAGAGUGUUUCAACCAACAGCAGAAAAAUCAGUUUGAUGUAUGGAUGCUUCAUGCGGUGCUAGCUAAUGAUCUCUAUACUGAUGACAGUUUUGUGGUAAGUGUACUGUGGUAAAAUGCAGAUGUUGAUUAUUUCCUCGACCAUGGUUGUGAUGUGCUUGGUUUUAGUGGUCCUGAUGUAUGAGUCUACUUUUCCUUUUUCUUGCUGUUUUAAGAUAUCAUGUCCGAUUUCAAUGUUGGGUCGAUUGAGUUGUUGAUUUUCUCACCCUGGUCAUACCAUAAUAUGUUUGUGUUUAGUCAUGUAUGCAUCUCCAUCUUGCAAGCCUGCCAUACAUGAUAGGAUUAGUACUUAUUAACUAUUCAUAUGUGCUUGUAGAGAAGGAUACAAUUAUUAUUUAA
Molecule: long non-coding RNA, 869 nt
Organism: Triticum aestivum (bread wheat)
Lineage: Eukaryota; Viridiplantae; Streptophyta; Magnoliopsida; Poales; Poaceae
Exons: 3
Source: RefSeq, a predicted model, not a curated record